AGUGAACGCUGGCGGCGUGCCUAAUACAUGCAAGUCGAACGGUAACAGGAAGUAGCUUGCUACUUUGCUGAUUAGUGGCGCACGGGUGAGUAAUGCAUAGGUCAUGUGCCCCAUAGUCUGGGAUAGCCACUGGAAACGGUGAUUAAUACUGGAUACUCCCGAGAGGGGAAAGUUUUUCGCUAUGGGAUCAGCCUAUGUCCUAUCAGCUUGUUGGUGAGGUAAUGGCUCACCAAGGCUAUGACGGGUAUCCGGCCUGAGAGGGUGAACGGACACACUGGAACUGAGACACGGUCCAGACUCCUACGGGAGGCAGCAGUAGGGAAUAUUGCUCAAUGGGGGAAACCCUGAAGCAGCAACGCCGCGUGGAGGAUGAAGGUCUUCGGAUUGUAAACUCCUUUUCUAAGAGAAGAUUAUGACGGUAUCUUAGGAAUAAGCACCGGCUAACUCCGUG
This 451-nucleotide ribosomal RNA is filed under the name uncultured bacterium. Its description in RNAcentral is "partial 16S ribosomal RNA". It matches the Rfam family "Bacterial small subunit ribosomal RNA", at positions 29 to 507 of the family's 1533-position model. The record is from RNAcentral.